ACCACUGAAUCCAGAAGGUUGGGCGUCGAUCUGAAGCUCUUGUUGUGCUGAGCGUGCUCUUAGGGGCCAUAGCUCAGUUGGGAGAGCGCGUGCUUUGCAAGCAUGAGGUCGUCGGUUCGAUCCCGUCUGGCUCCACCAUUUCCUGCAUUCCGAUGAGGGAUGCGGUCGAGAUGGUCGGUGGUGAAGCGCUUCAAGCGUGAGAGAAGAACAUCCGGUUCUUUUCUCUUCUGUCCGCACAAUCUGUUUCGCUGAUCCUCAGCAAGCCCCCAUGUGGGCGAGGAUGAGCGCUGCUGUCUGACAUUGUGAAUCUGGGCGUUUUCGAUUUGCUGGCCGCAAGGCUGGCGGGUCGUGACAAUCAAGCUUUCGGGCUUGAGAGGACACGAUCAUCGGGUGCUGACCGCACCGGUGUCGAAAAUGUCGAAGCUGGUCUUUAGCGUCCAGCCCUCUCGCUGAUCCGCCUGGUGCGGAUUGAUGAGAACCUCAGCCGAGGAGUGGGCAUGGACGAUGAGAACGAUCAAGUGUCUUAAGGGCAUUCGGUGGAUGCCUUGGCGCUAAGAGGCGAAGAAGGACGUGGUACCGCUGCGAUAUGCUUCGGG
This 596-nucleotide ribosomal RNA is filed under the name Azorhizobium sp. STM 3334. RNAcentral's name for it is "partial 16S-23S ribosomal RNA intergenic spacer". The stretch from base 63 to 135 matches the Rfam family "tRNA". Lineage: Bacteria; Pseudomonadati; Pseudomonadota; Alphaproteobacteria; Hyphomicrobiales; Xanthobacteraceae. The record is from RNAcentral.